Long non-coding RNA from Drosophila arizonae, 456 nucleotides. The record is from RefSeq and is a predicted model, not a curated record. Lineage: Eukaryota; Metazoa; Arthropoda; Insecta; Diptera; Drosophilidae.
UAAUAUAUCGAAUAGACGAUGAUGAGUGCAUCCAGUCGCCAUGUGAGAAAGGAUAUAAAUGCUCAAAUUAUCCAGGAGGAUACGACUGUAAUCUUAUUAGCAGUGAAACAUGUGGCACAGGCUUUCUUUUAAAAAAUGGCAGCUGCAUUGAUAUUGAUGAGUGUGCUCAAAGUACGACCAAUUCUUGCAGAAACGAUUUGCACCAGGAAUGCAAGAACACUGUGGGCAGUUACCACUGCAACUGCCUGCCUGGUUAUAGCUUGGAUGUAACGCAGAACAAAUGCGUUGAUAUAAAUGAAUGCUCAAUUAACAAUCACAACUGCCUCCCAACUCAAAGAUGCGAUAACACGAUCGGGUCAUAUAUAUGCACGCGUUGGACAUCUUGUGGCACGGGAUAUACAUUGAAUGCUGGUACUGGAAAUUGUGAUGGUAAGUAAAAUAUUUACUAAGAAUAAG